AUGGUGCUAAAGUAAUCAAACUGUUACACUCCGAAACCACAAGAUUUUCCAGAGGCUGAAGAACAUAGUCCAACUGGGAGUCUUGGUUCCAUAUAUCCGUCAAAUCAGGAAGCUUAAACAAUUCUAAGCGCCGUGUCUGUCUAAGAAUCUCAGCAUAUAAUUUUUCCUUACCAAUAGAGCCUUCAUAAGGAAACAACUUUUUGAAUUGACUACAAGCCACUACAAGUUUUUCCAUACACCGAAAUCUUUCAAGGAGAUGAAAGGGAAAAACUACAGAUUCAUCAUGAAAGCAAUGUAUCGCAACGACUUUGAGUUUCUGAAAGAGGUCUGCUGGGAACUGGCUUUGCCAUAUUAUUGUAACAUCCUUUCUUGUCAGUGUUAACUGCUCCAAGUUGGAGACAAUCUUUCUAAACGAGAAAAGUGGUUGCAGAACUCGAAUCAUAAGUUGGCUCUCCUUAUUUGUUUCUACCAAGUUCUCAUAUUCUGAACAAAAAAUGUUUACUUCCUCACAAUGAUACACCGUUAAGCUCUUUAACAUUGGAGAUUCCAAAGUGUGUAUUCCUGGGUAGAAGCACUUGAGCGCAUAUAAUUCCCCAAAAGUCAAGAACUUUAAGCAAGGAAAAACAAAUUCAGAAGUUGCUUCUAAUCCUUGGUCCUGAGCAACAAUUUCCUCCACCCCACAACUUCUUAUAUGCAGGGUUUCGAGUUGUGGCAGAUUUUUAGCUAUUGAAGCUG
Molecule: unclassified non-coding RNA, 735 nt
Filed under: Hevea brasiliensis (rubber tree)
Lineage: Eukaryota; Viridiplantae; Streptophyta; Magnoliopsida; Malpighiales; Euphorbiaceae
Source: RNAcentral